GAAGAAGGAUUAGAUACAUUUUUACCUUAUUUCUAACAAAUUGUGGCCGUGAUUCCGGUGGGCUUGAUGAAGAUCGUCCACAAUCAAAAAAGAAAAAAAUAGAGGGAGAAGGAAUUCAGAUCCACUCCAAUUUCCGUCAGAGAAGAAGACUCUUCCCUUUCCUUUUUUGCGGUGCUUUAAAAAUCAUGUGCAAUUUUUGUUGGGCUGUUUCUCCUUGGUGGCUAGGUUGAUAUAUAUUGAGUAUCACAAGGCCAACGAUUUGAUCCCAGAGGCAGGAGGGCAGGCUACCUGUACAGGCGAAGCAGUUCUUGAAAUCCAGGUCAAUGCUUUAGACAGAAAUAUUGGAAUCUAAACAUUGCAUAUAACCUGCUAGCUUAUUCUUUUCUAUCGAACUUGAAAGCUGAAGUCUGCAAACCAGUAUCUAUACUGUACAAUGAUUUUAUUGCUCCAAUUAGUGUUCCAAAAGAUUCGAUACUGUAACACAAGUUAACAUAAAAAGCCUUGCUUUGUCUUUUUAGCGAUUUUG
This is a non-coding RNA of Elaeis guineensis (African oil palm), 526 nucleotides long. NCBI's taxonomy places the organism in Eukaryota, Viridiplantae, Streptophyta, Magnoliopsida, Arecales, Arecaceae. The record is from RefSeq and is a predicted model, not a curated record.